Molecule: ribosomal RNA, 191 nt
Filed under: Paenibacillus naphthalenovorans
Lineage: Bacteria; Bacillati; Bacillota; Bacilli; Caryophanales; Paenibacillaceae
Description: 16S rRNA. Bacterial SSU
Rfam family: Bacterial small subunit ribosomal RNA
Source: RNAcentral
CUUUAUUGGAGAGUUUGAUCCUGGCUCAGGACGAACGCUGGCGGCGUGCCUAAUACAUGCAAGUCGAGCGCUGGGGGUGCACCCUUAGGGGAGACCUCCUGGAGCGGCGGACGGGUGAGUAACACGUAGGCAACCUGCCUGUAAGACCGGGAUAACUACCGGAAACGGUAGCUAAGACCGGAUAGGUGGUU